CACGUAGGGUGCGAGCGUUGUCCGGAAUUAUUGGGCGUAAAGAGCUCGUAGGCGGUGUGUCGCGUCGGCCGUGAAAACCUGCAGCUUAACUGUGGGCUUGCGGUCGAUACGGGCAUCACUGGAGUUCGGCAGGGGAGACUGGAAUUCCUGGUGUAGCGGUGAAAUGCGCAGAUAUCAGGAGGAACACCGGUGGCGAAGGCGGCAUCCUGGACCGACACUGACGCUGAGGAGCGAAAGCCAGGGGAGCAAACGGG
RNAcentral lists this ribosomal RNA (254 nucleotides) under uncultured bacterium. RNAcentral's name for it is "partial 16S ribosomal RNA". It matches the Rfam family "Bacterial small subunit ribosomal RNA", at positions 524 to 776 of the family's 1533-position model. The record is from RNAcentral.